This 101-nucleotide small nuclear RNA is filed under the name Olea europaea subsp. europaea. Lineage: Eukaryota; Viridiplantae; Streptophyta; Magnoliopsida; Lamiales; Oleaceae. The record is from RNAcentral.
GUCCCUUCACUGACAUCAGAUAAAUGGAACGAUAAAGAAAAGAUUAGCAUGAAGUUUUUGAAAGGGUGACCCAAAGAAAUCGAGAAAUGGUCCAAAUGCUU